ACAUGCAAGUCGAACGAUGAACCCGAAGCUUGCUUUGGGGGAUUAGUGGCGAACGGGUGAGUAACACGUGAGCAACCUGCCCCUCACUCUGGGAUAAGCGCUGGAAACGGCGUCUAAUACUGGAUACGAGUCGCAACCGCAUGGUUAGCGAUUGGAAAGAUUUUUUGGUGGGGGAUGGGCUCGCGGCCUAUCAGCUUGUUGGUGAGGUAAUGGCUCACCAAGGCGUCGACGGGUAGCCGGCCUGAGAGGGUGACCGGCCACACUGGGACUGAGACACGGCCCAGACUCCUACGGGAGGCAGCAGUGGGGAAUAUUGCACAAUGGGCGGAAGCCUGAUGCAGCAACGCCGCGUGAGGGAUGACGGCCUUCGGGUUGUAAACCUCUUUUAGCAGGGAAGAAGCGAAAGUGACGGUACCUGCAGAAAAAGCACCGGCUAACUACGUGCCAGCAGCCGCGGUAAUACGUAGGGUGCAAGCGUUAUCCGGAAUUAUUGGGCGUAAAGAGCUCGUAGGCGGUUUGUCGCGUCUGCUGUGAAAUCCCGAGGCUCAACCUCGGGCCUGCAGUGGGUACGGGCAGACUAGAGUGCGGUAGGGGAGAUUGGAAUUCCUGGUGUAGCGGUGGAAUGCGCAGAUAUCAGGAGGAACACCGAUGGCGAAGGCAGAUCUCUGGGCCGUAACUGACGCUGAGGAGCGAAAGGGUGGGGAGCAAACAGGCUUAGAUACCCUGGUAGUCCACCCCGUAAACGUUGGGAACUA
This 755-nucleotide ribosomal RNA is filed under the name Microbacterium sp. RNAcentral describes it as "bacterial SSU rRNA". It matches the Rfam family "Bacterial small subunit ribosomal RNA", at positions 53 to 818 of the family's 1533-position model. Lineage: Bacteria; Bacillati; Actinomycetota; Actinomycetes; Micrococcales; Microbacteriaceae. The record is from RNAcentral.